Molecule: ribosomal RNA, 430 nt
Filed under: Pseudomonadota bacterium
Lineage: Bacteria; Pseudomonadati; Pseudomonadota
Description: Proteobacteria bacterium partial 16S ribosomal RNA
Rfam family: Bacterial small subunit ribosomal RNA
Source: RNAcentral
UGGGGAAUAUUGGACAAUGGGGGGAACCCUGAUCCAGCCAUGCCGCGUGUGUGAAGAAGGCCUUAUGGUUGUAAAGCACUUUAAGCGAGGAGGAGGGUACUGGUAUUAAUACUACCAGGUACUGGACGUUACUCGCAGAAUAAGCACCGGCUAACUCUGUGCUAGCAGCCGCGGUAAUACAGAGGGUGCGAGCGUUAAUCGGAUUUACUGGGCGUAAAGCGUGCGUAGGCGGCUAAUUGAGUCGGAUGUGAAAUCCCCGAGCUUAACUUGGGAAUUGCAUUCGAUACUGGUUAGCUAGAGUGUGGGAGAGGAUGGUAGAAUUCCAGGUGUAGCGGUGAAAUGCGUAGAGAUCUGGAGGAAUACCGAUGGCGAAGGCAGCCAUCUGGCCUAACACUGACGCUGAGGUACGAAAGCAUGGGGAGCAAACAGG